This 461-nucleotide ribosomal RNA is filed under the name uncultured bacterium. Its description in RNAcentral is "bacterial SSU rRNA". It matches the Rfam family "Bacterial small subunit ribosomal RNA", at positions 917 to 1382 of the family's 1533-position model. The record is from RNAcentral.
GGGCCCGCACAAGCAGCGGAGCAUGUGGUUUAAUUCGAAGCAACGCGAAGAACCUUACCUGGACUUGACAUCCCCUGAAUUACUCGUAAUGGAGGAAGCCCUUCGGGGCAGGGAGACAGGUGGUGCAUGGUUGUCGUCAGCUCGUGUCGUGAGAUGUUAGGUUAAGUCCUGCAACGAGCGCAACCCUUAUCAUUAGUUGCUACCAUUAAGUUGAGCACUCUAGUGAGACUGCCCGGGUUAACCGGGAGGAAGGUGGGGAUGACGUCAAAUCAUCAUGCCCCUUAUGUCCAGGGCUACACACGUGCUACAAUGGGUGAUACAAAGAGAUGCAAUACAGUGAUGUGGAGCAAAACUAUAAAAUCACCCUCAGUUCGGAUUGUAGGCUGAAACUCGCCUACAUGAAGCUGGAGUUGCUAGUAAUCGCGAAUCAGCAUGUCGCGGUGAAUACGUUCCCGGGCCUU